This 100-nucleotide transfer RNA is filed under the name Lentinula edodes (shiitake mushroom). RNAcentral describes it as "tRNA-Glu". It matches the Rfam family "tRNA". Rfam says of the family: Transfer RNA (tRNA) molecules are approximately 80 nucleotides in length. Their secondary structure includes four short double-helical elements and three loops (D, anti-codon, and T loops). Lineage: Eukaryota; Fungi; Basidiomycota; Agaricomycetes; Agaricales; Omphalotaceae. The record is from RNAcentral.
UCCAAUGUGGUGUAGUGGCUAACAUUGCUGUCUUUCAUGUCAUUCCGGUGUUCCGGGUAAUCAUACACAGCAGCCCGGGGUUCGAUUCCCCGCAUUGGAA